GACGUAGGGCGCGAGCGUUGUCCGGAUUUAUUGGGCGUAAAGAGCUCGUAGGCGGCUUGUCGCGUCGUUCGUGAAAACCUGCAGCUCAACUGCAGGCUUGCGGUCGAUACGGGCAGGCUGGAGUUCGGUAGGGGAGACUGGAAUUCCUGGUGUAGCGGCGAAAUGCGCAGAUAUCAGGAGGAACACCGGUGGCGAAGGCGGGUCUCUGGGCCGAUACUGACGCUGAGGAGCGAAAGCGUGGGGAGCGAACAGG
Molecule: ribosomal RNA, 253 nt
Filed under: uncultured bacterium
Lineage: Bacteria
Description: partial 16S ribosomal RNA
Rfam family: Bacterial small subunit ribosomal RNA
Source: RNAcentral